RNAcentral lists this ribosomal RNA (450 nucleotides) under uncultured Glomeromycotina. RNAcentral's name for it is "SSU rRNA". It matches the Rfam family "Eukaryotic small subunit ribosomal RNA", at positions 569 to 1023 of the family's 1831-position model. Lineage: Eukaryota; Fungi; Glomeromycota. The record is from RNAcentral.
AGCAGCCGCGGUAACUCCAGCUCCAAUAGCGUAUAUUAAAGUUGUUGCAGUUAAAAAGCUCGUAGUUGAAUUUCGGGGUCAGUAGGCUGGUCGUGCCACGGGUAUGUACUGGUCUUACUGAUUCCUCCUUCCUGAUGAACCGUAAUGCCAUUAAUUUGGUGUUGCGGGGAAUCUGGACUGUUACUUUGAAAAAAUUAGAGUGUUUAAAGCAGGCUAACGCUUGAAUACAUUAGCAUGGAAUAAUGAAAUAGGACGAUCGAUCCUAUUUUGUUGGUUUCUAGGAUUGACGUAAUGAUUAAUAGGGAUAGUUGGGGGCAUUAGUAUUCAAUUGUCAGAGGUGAAAUUCUUGGAUUUAUUGAAGACUAACUACUGCGAAAGCAUUUGCCAAGGAUGUUUUCAUUAAUCAAGAACGAAAGUUAGGGGAUCGAAGACGAUCAGAUACCGUCGUAG